CUGGCUCAGGAUGAACGCUAGCGAUAGGCCUAACACAUGCAAGUCGAGGGGCAGCACAUGAGUAGCAAUACGAUGGUGGCGACCGGCGCACGGGUGAGUAACACGUAUGCAACCUACCUUUAACAGGGGAAUAACCCGUUGAAAAACGGACUAAUACUCCAUGACACAGGGGUCCCGCAUGGGAAUAUUUGUUAAAGAUUUAUCGGUUGAAGAUGGGCAUGCGUUCCAUUAGCUUGUUGGUGAGGUAACGGCUCACCAAGGCUACGAUGGAUAGGGGAACUGAGAGGUUUAUCCCCCACACUGGAACUGAGACACGGUCCAGACUCCUACGGGAGGCAGCAGUGAGGAAUAUUGGUCAAUGGAGGCAACUCUGAACCAGCCAAGUCGCGUGAAAGGAUAAAGGUCUUAUGGAUUGUAAACUUCUUUUGCAAGGGAAUAAAGUGGGGGACGUGUCCUCCUUUGCAUGUACCUUGCGAAUAAGGAUCGGCUAACUCCGUGCCAGCAGCAGC
This 509-nucleotide ribosomal RNA is filed under the name uncultured bacterium. RNAcentral's name for it is "bacterial SSU rRNA". It matches the Rfam family "Bacterial small subunit ribosomal RNA", at positions 19 to 518 of the family's 1533-position model. The record is from RNAcentral.